Molecule: ribosomal RNA, 496 nt
Filed under: uncultured bacterium
Lineage: Bacteria
Description: partial 16S ribosomal RNA
Rfam family: Bacterial small subunit ribosomal RNA
Source: RNAcentral
GAUGAACGCUGGCGGCGUGCCUAAUACAUGCAAGUCGAGCGAACAGAUGAGGAGCUUGCUCCUCUGACGUUAGCGGCGGACGGGUGAGUAACACGUGGAUAACCUACCUAUAAGACUGGGAUAACUUCGGGAAACCGGAGCUAAUACCGGAUAAUAUAUUGAACCGCAUGGUUCAAUAGUGAAAGACGGUUUUGCUGUCACUUAUAGAUGGAUCCGCGCCGCAUUAGCUAGUUGGUAAGGUAACGGCUUACCAAGGCAACGAUGCGUAGCCGACCUGAGAGGGUGAUCGGCCACACUGGAACUGAGACACGGUCCAGACUCCUACGGGAGGCAGCAGUAGGGAAUCUUCCGCAAUGGGCGAAAGCCUGACGGAGCAACGCCGCGUGAGUGAUGAAGGUCUGCGGAUCGUAAAACUCUGUUAUUAGGGAAGAACAAAUGUGUAAGUAACGAUGCACGUCUGGACGGUACCUAAGCAGAAAACCACGGCUAACUACGU